RNAcentral lists this unclassified non-coding RNA (281 nucleotides) under uncultured fungus. RNAcentral's name for it is "sequence contains ITS1". The record is from RNAcentral. Lineage: Eukaryota; Fungi.
AGUCUAAUGGAGAAACUUAUGAAAAACAAUAGCAAAACAAAGAAGGAAGUGCAGCUGUGCACUCUCGGAGCUCCAGCUUUUAUAAUGGAAGAACCAAAAUUUUCAACAAAGGCAACCCGCCAGCCGUGCUGGCGAUCCGUGGGCAAGGCAAAUCGCCAAUGGUAAUGGCGAUUUGGCCUUGACUGACGCACUGCUGCACUGCCAUGGCAGGACUAGCCCUGCGUUCUGCACCCUCAGCUAUUGGAACUCGCCAGUUUGAUUGGCGGUUCCCUACGCUUUCU